UCAUGGAUAAAACACCUAAAUCUUACUAGAAUUUGUUCAACCAGUUUGUAUACCACUAUUAAAGUAAUAUUUAAUUAUUAUUACUUAAAACUUUUUAGAAA
RNAcentral lists this ribosomal RNA (101 nucleotides) under Amblyomma sp. FOURTBEAUFORT. RNAcentral's name for it is "partial 12S ribosomal RNA". The record is from RNAcentral. Lineage: Eukaryota; Metazoa; Arthropoda; Arachnida; Ixodida; Ixodidae.